This 377-nucleotide ribosomal RNA is filed under the name uncultured bacterium. RNAcentral describes it as "bacterial SSU rRNA". It matches the Rfam family "Bacterial small subunit ribosomal RNA", at positions 28 to 417 of the family's 1533-position model. The record is from RNAcentral.
GACUAACGCUGGCGGCGUGCCUAACACAUGCAAGUCGAACGGACCCUUCGGGGUAAGUGGCAGACGGGUGAGUAACGCGUAGGUAAUGUGCCCUUUUGCUGGGGAUACCUGUCCGAAAGGACAGUUAAUACCGAAUACCCUGAUCUGGGGGCAUCUCCAAAUCAGGAAACCGUAUGGGCGAGAGGAGCAACCUGCGUUCUAUCAGCUUGUUGGUGGGGUAACGGCCACCAAGGCUACGACGGANAGCCGGUCUGAGAGGAUGAUCGGCCACACUGGGACUGAGACACGGCCCAGACUCCUACGGGAGGCAGCAGUGAGGAAUCUUGCGCAAUGGGCGAAAGCCUGACGCAGCGACGCCGCGUGGGGGAUGAAGGCUC